UGCCCUAAUACCACUUGGAAACAGGUGCUAAUACCGGAUAACAACAAUAGCUGCAUGGCUAUUGCUUAAAAGGCGGCGAAAGCUGUCGCUAAAGGAUGGACCCGCGGUGCAUUAGCUAGUUGGUAAGGUAAUGGCUUACCAAGGCGACGAUGCAUAGCCGAGUUGAGAGACUGAUCGGCCACAUUGGGACUGAGACACGGCCCAAACUCCUACGGGAGGCAGCAGUAGGGAAUCUUCCACAAUGGGCGAAAGCCUGAUGGAGCAACGCCGCGUGAGUGAAGAAGGUUUUCGGAUCGUAAAGCUCUGUUGUUGGUGAAGAAGGAUAGAGGUAGUAACUGGCCCCUAUUUGACGGUAAUCAACCAGAAAGUCACGGCUAACUACGUGCCAGCAGCCGCGGUAAUACGUAGGUGGCAAGCGUUGUCCGGAUUUAUUGGGCGUAAAGCGAGCGCAGGCGGAAAGAUAAGUCUGAUGUGAAAGCCCCCGGCUUAACCGAGGAAUUGCAUCGGAAACUGUGUUUCUUGAGUGCAGAAGAGGAGAGUGGAACUCCAUGUGUAGCGGUGGAAUGCGUAGAUAUAUGGAAGAACACCAGUGGCGAAGGCGGCUCUCUGGUCUGUAACUGACGCUGAGGCUCGAAAGCAUGGGUAGCGAACAGGAUUAGAUACCCUGGUAGUCCAUGCCGUAAACGAUGAGUGCUAAGUG
This 700-nucleotide ribosomal RNA is filed under the name uncultured bacterium. RNAcentral's name for it is "bacterial SSU rRNA". It matches the Rfam family "Bacterial small subunit ribosomal RNA", at positions 135 to 822 of the family's 1533-position model. The record is from RNAcentral.